Molecule: unclassified non-coding RNA, 1285 nt
Filed under: Hevea brasiliensis (rubber tree)
Lineage: Eukaryota; Viridiplantae; Streptophyta; Magnoliopsida; Malpighiales; Euphorbiaceae
Source: RNAcentral
GUAUUUUUACAAGAUGCAGUUUCUGUUUUGAUGGUUUUGAGGGACAAGGAAACGAUGUGCUAUCCUGAAAAUUUAUUUAAUUUUUAACUAAUAAAUCCCUCAAAAUCACAAGUCAGGGUUUAUUCCCUUUUGCUUGGAAUCUACUUGUCUUCUCCUUUAAUUUUUGUUUUAUUUGAUUUAAUUUUGUAUUUAAACGACAUCCAUUUCUCUGCGGCUACUUUUGUUUCUUUGCAAAUAUUCAUCCUGGCAUAUUUCAGGCAACAGAUUUGCGUCUCCUGAUAUUUUACUCUCCGAGAUUUAUCUGCAGUGGAGCUUUUGCAGUAAAGCUGCCUAAUUGACAUGAGAAAUCCUAUAUAAAGAAGCAAAUGUUUUGGUGGUGCAUGCAAAGAACAAUGCGGUUCAUAUUUAAAAAAGCUUUGUUAUUUUUUCUGUUCUCCUUAUUGUUUUCUGGUUGCAUUCUGGCACAAUCUGCAAUUGAAACUUCAGAAAGGUUAAGAUCCGCACCACAUAAAAAUGUAGGGAACAAUGUCAUAGAUGGCACUGGUACAGAGAGUGCCAUUGAUUUUGAGAGCACAAGUAGCGAACUGGGUGAUAGGAAGGGCAAUUAUGACAGAGUUUCAAUAUCUACAGUUGCUUUAUUUACCUUGGCCAUGGCUGCUGCCACUGGUUUAGGUGCAGUCCCAUUCUUUUUUGUAGAGCUGGAUCCUCAGUGGGCUGGAUUAUGCAAUGGAAUGGCUGCUGGUGUGAUGUUGGCUGCUAGCUUUGACCUCAUACAAGAAGGGCAGAGCCAUGGUGCUGGUAAUUGGGUUGUGAUCGGGAUUUUAUCUGGUGGUAUUUUCAUUUUGCUAUGCAAGAAGUUUCUUGAACAAUACGGUGAAGUAAGUAUGUUGGACAUAAAAGGUGCAGAUGCAACCAAAGUUGUUCUUGUUAUCGGAAUUAUGACUCUUCAUUCAUUUGGAGAGGGUUCAGGUGUUGGAGUCUCCUUCGCUGGCUCGAAAGGUUUCUCUCAAGGCCUUUUGGUAACUUUAGCCAUUGCUGUGCAUAACAUACCAGAGGGAUUAGCUGUGAGUAUGGUUCUUGCAUCAAGAGGUGUUUCUCCACAAAAUGCAAUGUUAUGGAGUGUAAUUACAUCUUUGCCUCAGCCCAUUGUAGCAGUUCCUUCAUUCAUAUGUGCUGAUGCAUUUAACAAGUUCCUGCCUUUCUGUACUGGCUUUGCUGCUGGAUGUAUGAUCUGGAUGGUUGUUGCUGAAGUGCUUCCUGAUGCUUUCAAGGAAGCCUCUCCUUC